AUCUUAUUAAGAGCGGUGGAGGGACUGGCCCUUUGAAGCCCGGCAACCUGAGAAAAUUUUUAAAAUGAAUUUUUUCGUUGGUGCUAAAUCCUGCAAGAGAAUAUCUUGAAAAAUGAGAG
This 119-nucleotide non-coding RNA is filed under the name Clostridium sp. Its description in RNAcentral is "SAM-I sequence". It matches the Rfam family "SAM riboswitch aptamer (S box leader)". Rfam says of the family: The SAM riboswitch is found upstream of a number of genes which code for proteins involved in methionine or cysteine biosynthesis in Gram-positive bacteria. The SAM riboswitch acts at the level of transcription termination control. The predicted structure consists of a complex stem-loop region followed by a single stem loop terminator region. The record is from RNAcentral. Lineage: Bacteria; Bacillati; Bacillota; Clostridia; Eubacteriales; Clostridiaceae. RNAcentral also lists the same sequence under 1 other name.